This 538-nucleotide ribosomal RNA is filed under the name uncultured bacterium. RNAcentral describes it as "bacterial SSU rRNA". It matches the Rfam family "Bacterial small subunit ribosomal RNA", at positions 777 to 1315 of the family's 1533-position model. The record is from RNAcentral.
AAUAGAUACCCGGGUAGUCCACGCCCUAAACGAUGUCGACUGGUUGUUGGGGGUUUGACACCCUCAGUAACGAAGCUAACGCGUGAAGUCGACCGCCUGGGGAGUACGGCCGCAAGGUUAAAACUCAAAGGAAUUGACGGGGACCCGCACAAGCGGUGGAUUAUGUGGAUUAAUUCGAUGCAACGCGAAAAACCUUACCUACCCUUGACAUGUCCGGAAGCCUGCUGAGAGGCGGGUGUGCCCGAAAGGGAACCGGAACACAGGUGCUGCAUGGCUGUCGUCAGCUCGUGUCGUGAGAUGUUGGGUUAAGUCCCGCAACGAGCGCAACCCUUGUCAUUAGUUGCUACAUUCAGUUGGGCACUCUAAUGAGACUGCCGGUGACAAACCGGAGGAAGGUGGGGAUGACGUCAAGUCCUCAUGGCCCUUAUGGGUAGGGCUUCACACGUAAUACAAUGGCGCGUACAGAGGGCUGCUAAGCCGCGAGGUAGAGCCAAUCCCUUAAAGCGCGUCGUAGUCCGGAUUGCAGUCUGCAACUCGA